Molecule: ribosomal RNA, 486 nt
Filed under: uncultured bacterium
Lineage: Bacteria
Description: partial 16S ribosomal RNA
Rfam family: Bacterial small subunit ribosomal RNA
Source: RNAcentral
AUUGAACGCUGGCGGCAUGCCUUACACAUGCAAGUCGAACGGCAGCACGGGUGCUUGCCCCUGGUGGCGAGUGGCGAACGGGUGAGUAAUACAUCGGAACAUGUCCUGUAGUGGGGGAUAGCCCGGCGAAAGCCGGAUUAAUACCGCAUAAGAUCUACGGAUGAAGGCGGGGGACCUUCGGGCCUCGCGCUAUAGGGUUGGCCGAUGGCUGAUUAGCUAGUUGGUGGGGUAAAGGCCUACCAAGGCGACGCUCAGUACCUGGUCUGAGAGGACGACCAGCCACACUGGGACUGAGACACGGCCCAGACUCCUACGGGAGGAGGCAGUGGGGAAUUUUGGACAAUGGGCGAAAGCCUGAUCCAGCAAUGCCGCGGGUGUGAGGAAGGCCUUCGGGUUGUAAAGCACUUUUGUCCGGAAAGAAAUCCUUGGCCCUAAUACGGUCGGGGGAUGACGGUACCGGAAGAAUAAGCACCGGCUAACUACGUG